Non-coding RNA from Labrus bergylta (ballan wrasse), 1276 nucleotides. Lineage: Eukaryota; Metazoa; Chordata; Actinopteri; Labriformes; Labridae. The record is from RefSeq and is a predicted model, not a curated record.
UCACUUAUUAAUAAAAAAAAGUGCCUGUAAGUAGGUCAGUUAUUAAGUAAGCAAGUUAUCAAGUUAGUAGGGGGUGUAUCCUGGAGCAUAAACACCACAAUCUUGUUUACUUACAGCUUUACCUGUGUACAAUAAUGACGUCAUUUUCCAUUAACAGAAGUCAAAAGACAUGGGAGCUUCUGAGGCCCAAUCAACAUCCCACAUGAGAGGACGUCAUAGGAAGGAGACACAAGGAAAGACUCCUCAAAGUGCUGCUCAAUCACAGAUAACUGCAUUGUAGGGAAAACCAGAAACAGAAGUGGUGGUUUCAGUGGUCCCUUCUCAAGUGAAAGGAAACAACUUCGUAAUCCACCAGUGAGCUGCUUACACUUGAACCUCACACCUGGCUCACAGGCGAGGUCAUCCUCUGCCUCAAAGUGAAUGCGUUACAUUUGGGAAGUUCUAUCUAUAUUAUGAGUUACUUCAUGACAGGUGUUGUCCUCUUUGGGGAUAGAGUAAGACUCAGGAGGCAUAGUUUGUCAAAGGGUGUGUAUGGUUGGGGUUGAUUAAGGAAGGUGCAAAUAAGAAGGCAGGAACUGCCCGGCUCUCAUGUCUCUCUCUCCUUGGCUCCUGAGAGUCACGACAGAAUGUCUAUUCCCUAUCAAUGUUGCCUGAGUAACCUGGUAGAGUGUUUAUCCCAUUAUCGUGGCUUUUGUUCAUUGUGUUAAGGGAUCCUGUGGCUUUGGUGGUAGAGGUAUAUCAAUGCAGAAACCAGCAAAGUGUACUUGGUAGAUCCAUCACAGGACUCUGCAGAGCAGGCUGACUCAGACCUGGCAGCAAAAAGAUUCCGUGAGUUCUUUAAAAUGAGGAGGACCUGCCACAACAAGAGCGACUGGGUGGAUGUGAAAUUCAGAGGAGGAGUUAUGCAACAGCCAGUUCAGCAGGACGGAAACAGUUGUGGGGUUAUAGUUAUCAUGAUGGCAAAGGCAGUCAUGGAGGCAUUUCCAGAACUCCCCAACAAAAGACAUGGCACUUGAACACAGAGCCAUGGCUGAAACAAUGCUUGAAGCAUCGGUGUUUAACACAGAAAGCAACUGUGCCAAAACACCCACUCCAGGACCUUCCAUCACAGACUGGAUUCAGUGUGACAGCUGUUCAAGAUGGUUCCACGCAGAGUGCCAUCAGAUGGACAGCGCAAAAUUUCAAGACGUAAACACUGCGGAGUGGGAUUGCAAUUUGUGCAAAGAAAAGAAUCCAUACAGGAGAGACAAUUAGCAUAACCAUUUAGCCACCAAUA